Molecule: ribosomal RNA, 327 nt
Filed under: Buchnera aphidicola
Lineage: Bacteria; Pseudomonadati; Pseudomonadota; Gammaproteobacteria; Enterobacterales; Erwiniaceae
Description: partial 23S ribosomal RNA
Rfam family: Bacterial large subunit ribosomal RNA
Source: RNAcentral
UAGAGAAUACCAAGGCGCUUGAGAGAACUCGGGUGAAGGAACUAGGCAAAAUGGUGCCGUAACUUCGGGAGAAGGCACGCUGGCAUGUAGGUGAAUUCCGUAUCGGAGGGAGCUGAAGCCAGUCGCAGAGACCAGCUGGCUGCAACUGUUUAAUAAAAACACAGCACUGUGCCAACACGAAAGUGGACGUAUACGGUGCGACGCCUGCCCGGUGCUGGAAGGUUAAUUGAUGGGGUUAGCCGCAAGGCGAAGCUCUUGAUCGAAGCCCCAGUAAACGGCGGCCGUAACUAUAACGGUCCUAAGGUAGCGAAAUUCCUUGUCGGGUAA